This 618-nucleotide long non-coding RNA is filed under the name Otus sunia (Oriental scops-owl). Its description in RNAcentral is "lncRNA (ENSOSUG00000015375.1)". The record is from RNAcentral. Lineage: Eukaryota; Metazoa; Chordata; Aves; Strigiformes; Strigidae.
CUUCAGAGUCCCAUACAGUCAGCUGGAGAGCUCACAGCAUUCUGUGCACUUACCUGCUUUCUCAAAGAAGGGAGUGAAUUGGGGGAGGAUUUUAGGCUUAACCUAAACUGCAUUUGCAAAGUGUCUGGUGUAGAGGGGCCCCGACUCUACCUGGAGCUGCUGGACAAUAAAAAUACUCAGAAUCUUAACAUUUCCGGAGGUCAGCAGGUGUAAGAAAACUGCAGCAACAGGAUCUGUGGCUGCCUGCGUAUCAUGAAGCUCGCUGCUUAACAACAGAAAUAAAGCACUUGUCAGGCAGAAGCAAUGCGUCAGUGCAAAAUGGAAUUCGCAAGACUAAAGUUUACACGAGGCAACAACAAAAUCUACUGUGCCAUUCUGUUAGGCAACAAAGGGAAACAUCUUGUUAGCAUCCAUCAGUACGAAUGCCAUUUUGCAUCAAGAAAAUGCUGAUCGUGGAACAGUUUGGGCGCUGCGCGCAGAAAGCUCACAGGUGAGUGAGCCAGCUGGCUCUUUCUGCAGUGCAAGUGCAGUGUGUUUUCAAAUUCACAGUGCUGCUUGGCUGAGCUUCGGGUCAUGGAGAGGUGAGCUGCCGUGCGAGACAGCCCCGUGUGAGCUGCC